GAUGAACGCUGGCGGCGUGCUUAACACAUGCAAGUCGAGCGAACAGGCCCUGCUCUUGCUGGUUGCUCGAGUGGCGAACGCGUGUGUAAAACGCGAGUAACCUCCCCCUGUCUUUGUGAUAUCAUCUGGAAACACCGGCUCAUACAGGGUAGGAGCUCUUGCUGCACGGUGGGCAUUGGAGAGAUUCGGCGGUGGGGGAUGGACUGGCGGCUUAUCCGCUGGUUGGUGGGGUUGUGGCUUACCAAGCCUUUGACGGGUAGCCGGCCUGAGAGGGGGACCGGCCACAUGGGGACUGAGAUACGGCCCAGACUCCUACGGGAGGCAGCAGUGGGGAAUAUUGCACAAUGGGCGGAAGCCUGAUGCAGCAACGCCGCGUGCGGGAUGACGGCCUUCGGGUUGUAAACCGCUUUCGCCUGUGACGAAGCGUGAGUGACGGUAAUGGGUAAAGAAGCACCGGCUAACUACGUG
This 468-nucleotide ribosomal RNA is filed under the name uncultured bacterium. Its description in RNAcentral is "partial 16S ribosomal RNA". It matches the Rfam family "Bacterial small subunit ribosomal RNA", at positions 28 to 507 of the family's 1533-position model. The record is from RNAcentral.